RNAcentral lists this ribosomal RNA (253 nucleotides) under uncultured bacterium. RNAcentral describes it as "partial 16S ribosomal RNA". It matches the Rfam family "Bacterial small subunit ribosomal RNA", at positions 524 to 776 of the family's 1533-position model. The record is from RNAcentral.
GACGGGGGGGGCAAGUGUUCUUCGGAAUUACUGGGCGUAAAGGGCGCGCAGGCGGCUCUGCAAGUCAGAUGUGAAAGCCCCGGGCUUAACCUGGGAACUGCAUUUGAUACUCUGGAGCUUGAGUACGGGAGAGGAUAGUGGAAUUCCCAGUGUAGAGGUGAAAUUCGUAGAUAUUGGGAAGAACACCGGUGGCGAAGGCGGCUAUCUGGACCGUAACUGACGCUGAGGCGCGAAAGCGUGGGGAGCAAACAGG